RNAcentral lists this long non-coding RNA (5276 nucleotides) under Mytilus galloprovincialis (Mediterranean mussel). Lineage: Eukaryota; Metazoa; Mollusca; Bivalvia; Mytilida; Mytilidae. The record is from RNAcentral.
CUUCAUGAUUUAAAUGUUUUUUGAAUUUUUCAUUUUACAUGAUUUUUAUAGCUACAUGAUAUAAUUGGUAUAAUUCAUCUCAUCACACAUAUAUAGUAAAGUUCAAUGAAAUAUUUACCAUAAAAAAUAAUAUGGAGGUAACCUCCUAUGAAGAUCUAACUAAUAAAAUAACAUGCUAAAAGUAGAGGCUCACCUGGCAUUUUGGCAUAAAAUUGAUGCAAAAGAUUAAGUAUAGUUUUGAUGGUCUCUGGCAAAAAGGCAAAAAAUGAUAAAAUUGUUUAUCAAGGGCAAUAACUCAUAUUGACUGACGAUUUCAGCCACGUUGACUUAUUUGUCCUGAUUGAUGUUUUUUAUGUUAAUAGUUUUCUGCAAAUAACACAAAAAUGUUAUGUGUAAAAUUUGUAUUUUCAGAGCAAUUUAGCAAAAGUGUAGAUUUUGUCCAACUGACCAUUGUUGCCAUUUACAAUUCAUCUAGGGCAAUAACUCCCAUACAUAACUGACAAACAAUCUCAUCCAUAAUGGAUGAUGAUGGAAGUUUUUAACGAUCUAGACUGGAUAUACAGACCUUGCACGGUCAGUCUCAUCCAGGAAAACUUAUUCAUAGAUAGUUUUUGAUGAUAAAUUUAUGCUACUAACAUUUUUUUCUAUCUACUAUUCUCUCCACAAAAGCACAAAAAUGGAUAACCAUCUUUCAGGGGCAAUAACUCCUAUAGGUCAAAUGAAAAUAUCAGCCAUGUUCACCUUUAUGUAGAUAUUGUAAUGAUAAUUGUAGUUGUUAGCAGUUUCCACUAAAAACACAAAUAUGGAUGAAAUUUAUCUUUCCAGGGCAGUAAUUCCUACAUGGAGUUAUUUCUACCAUGAUGAUAUACACAGAACUUGUAGAUUUCCUGUUCAAUGUAUCUAUUAUAGUUUCAAUGAUAAUAGCCAUAUUUGCAUUUAAAAGUUCUCAUUUAAGGGCAAUAUCUCCUAUCACAAGUGUCCUUGAAUGGAAAUGUUGAUUGGCAAGUGGAAUCAUCAAAUUCAUUUGUUAAACCAAAGAAUAAUUUGGGUCAAGUUUGGUUCCAAUAAGCACAUAGUUUCAAAGGAAAAGUUUUUUGGAAACGUCAACAAAAGACCAUGAACACCAAGUGAGCUAAAAAUAUACAUUUUUUAGAAUAGAUAUUUGGCUGAAAAAAACUAAGUUUAAUAUAAAUUCUCAACUCAACAGUCUCUAAAGAAACUAUCUGUCAUUUUAAAUAUCAUUUAAAUAAAAUACAAGAAAAUAUUAUAAAAAAAACAUUUGCUUGAAUCCUUUGGUCAUACUUUUACAGUGUUCAGGAUAUUGAAAAAUACUUUAUGAAUAUAUUGUAACAAUUAUGAAGCACUGUCAUUUAAAAAUAGAAAUCUUUGGAAUAUUUAUUACUGACAUUGUAAACUAGAGGCUCUAAAGAGCCUACGUCGCUCACCUUGGUCUAUGUGAAUAUUAAACAAAGGAAGCAGAUGGAUUCAUGACAAAAUUGUGUUUUGGUGAUGGUGAUGUGUUUGUACGUCUUACUUUACUGAACAUUCUUGCUGCUUACAGUUAUCUCUAUCUAUAAUGAACUUGGCCCAGUAGUUUCAGUGGAAAAUGUUAGUAAAAAUUUACAAAUUUUAUAAAAAUUGUUAAAAAUUGACUAUAAAGGACAAUAACUCCUUAGGGGGUCAGUUGACCAUUUCAGUCAUGUUGAUUUAUUUGUAAAUCUUACUUUGCUGUACAUUAUUGCUGUUUAAAGUUUAUCUCUAUCUAUAAUAAUAUUCAAGAUAAUAACCAAAAACAGUAAAAUUUCCCUAAAAUUACCAAUUUAGGGGCAGCAACCCAACAACGCGUUGUCCAAUUCAUCUGAAAAUUUCAGGGCAGAUAGUAUUUGACCUGAUAAACAAUUUUACUCUGUCAGAUUUGCUGUAAAUGCUUUGGUUUUUGAGUUAUAAGCCAAAAACUGCAUUUUACCCCUAUGUUCUAUUUUUAGCCAUGGCGGCCAUCUUGGUUGGAUGGCCGGGUCACCGGACACAUUUUUUAACUUAGAUACCCCAAAGAUGAUUGUGGCCAAGUUUGGAUUAAUUUGGCCCAGUAGUUUCAGAGGAGAAGAUUUUUGUAAAAGAUAACUAAUCUUUACGAAAAAUGGUUAAAAAUUGACUAUAAAGGGCAAUAACUCCUAAAGGGGUCAACUGACCAUUUCGGUCAUGUUGACUUAUUUGUAGAUCUAACUUUGCUGAACAUUAUUGCUGUUAACAGUUUAUCUCUAUCUAUAAUAAUAUUCAAGAUAAUAACCAAAAACAGCAAAAUUUCCUUAAAAUUACCAAUUCAGGGGCAGCAACCAAACAACCAGUUGUCUGAUUCAUCUGAAAAUUUCAGGGCAGAUACAUCGUGACCUGAUAAACACUUUUACUCUGUCAGAUUUGCUCUAAAUGCUUUGGUUUUUGAGUUGUAAGCCAAAAACUGCAUUUCACCCCUAUGUUCUAUUUUUAGCCAUGGCGGCCAUCUUGGUUGGUUGGCCAGGUCAUGCCACACAUUUUUUAAACUAAAUACCCCAAAGAUGAUUGUAGCCAAGUUUGGAUUAAUUUGGCCCAGUAGUUUCAGAGGAGAAGAUUUUUGUAAAAGAUUACUAAUCUUUACGAAAAAUGGUUAAAAAUUGACUAUAAAGGUCAAUAACUCCUAAAGGGGUCAACUGACCAUUUUGGUCAUGUUGACUUAUUUGUAAAUCUUACUUUGCUGAACAUUAUUGCUGUUUAUAGUUUAUUUCUAUCUAUAAUAAUAUUCAAGAUAAUAACCAAAAACAGCAAAAAUUCCCUAAUAUUACCAAUUCAGGGGCAGCAACCCAACAACGGGUUGUCGGAUUCAUCUGAAAAUUUGAGGGCAGAUAGAUCUUGACCUGAUAAACAAUUUUACCCAUGUCAGAUUUGCUUUAAAUGCUUUGGUUUUUUGAGUUAUAAGCCAAAAACUGCAUUUUACCCCUAUGUUCUAUUUUUAGCCAUGGCGGCCAUCUUGGUUGGUUGGCCGGGUCACCGGACACAUUUUUUAAACUAGAUACCCCAAUGAUGAUUGUGGCCAAGUUUGGUUUAAUUUGGCCCAGUAGUUUCAGAGGAGAAGAUUUUUGUAAAAGUUAACGACGACGGACGACAACGGACGACGACGGACGCCAAGUGAUGGGAAAAGCUCACUUGGCCCUUUGGGCCAGGUGAGCUAAAAAUGUGACUAUAACAUCCUCCUUACUACCACCAAAUAUUCGUAGCAUUCCCAAAAUAUUGCUAUUACCAUUCUCUCGUACAAACAAACAUGCAUAGUAUUACCAAAUAUGGCUCUCUACCCUUUUGCUAUCAACUUCAUAUACAAUUCUAAAUAUAAAAUACUUAGUUCACUCCCUUUAUACAACUAACUACACAUUUAAAGCAUGAUUACUUAUAACUGAUUUAUUUAAGAUUCAUAACACUAAAUAUCAAACAAUAAUAUCACUGAGAUAGAACAAAGUUAUUCCUGUUAUCAAUAUUGAAAUAUUAAAAUAUGUAUAAAAUAUAUAAAGUUCACCAACACAGGUUAGAAUGAAUACUUGUAAUAACACAAUAGGUUGUGAUUAUUAUUUAACAAGGAUAUAUGACCAUACCCUGCUAAACACCCAUCCCCAACCACACAAUCAGUUUAAUCAGGUUUCAAAGUAACUUGGCACAUAAUUUUAAAUAAAGGCAACAUUAGUAUACCACUGUUUAAAAGCCAUAAAUCCAUUCAGAGAAAACAAAUCUGGAUAAUAAACUAAAACCGAGGGAACACAUCAACUAUAAGAGGAAAACAACAAAACAACAGACACACUGAACUGUAAAAAAUAAUUUCUGAAUUAACAGUAUGACUUUCUUUACUACAUACAUUUUCAAGUACAGUAAUAGACAACACAGAUUUGUGUUUCAGCCUAAAACAGGUAUUCAAAUAUAAAAUAUAGGAGAGCCUUAGUGUAGUGGUUUGCGCAUAAGACUACUAACACAAAGGCUCUGGUUUGAUCCCCGCUCCAGGGAGAAAAUUUCAGAGACUGAAUUUUUGGCUCUCCCUUGACACCAUUUGUGAGUAUGGUUUUGAGAAACAAUGAUAGUCCGUCAGAAGGUGACGAUAAAUGGCUGACCCCUGUUAAAAGAGAGCCAUAUUUCUUGCAGGUAAAACACCCCGUUGUAGAUUUUGAAAAAGAGCAGGCUAAUGCCGCUACAAGGCAGCACUCACACUAGCAAAGUGGAAAGGGAUUAAUAUAAGUUGAAAUAACAUGUUUGCCAAUCCACUAUAAAUAAAUAUGUUUAUUAAACUACGGUAAAUAUCAGCUGUAUCAUAAUGAGACAUAUAUGCAAUGUAAUUAUUGAGUUCUAACAAUCAUUAACAAACUUUUGAGACCAUCUAAAGUCAGUUCACUUGCUCACCUUAGACCUUUGUUUUGAAAGUAUAAAUAUGAAGUUCAAUCAAUAUUUUAUAUUAGAUAAAUAUAUAUUCAUAUGUAGCUUUGAGUUAAAACAUCACAACACUUUUCCCUGAAAUCCUUAUACCUGGUCUUGCAUAAUUUACCAAACCUCCUCAACUAAUAUAAUUUUAAAGAGAUCAAAGAACAUUAUACUGUGAAAGUACUUUUAUUCGUGGGGUACCAAUUUUUGUGGUUUUCGACUUUAUCCACGAAUUUAAGUGUCCAACGAAAUUAAACAACAAUUGUCCAAACCCAAGAUCCCCAUGUAGGUUUAACUACUGAUAUGACUUAGAGAAUAUAUUGAAUAACACCAAAUCUGAGAAUACUCUAAUAGCAGUCACAGAACAACAACUACAUGCAGGAUUAUACCCAUUUAAUCUUUAAUAACCUAAACUGCACAACUUUUAAGUGUCAUAAAAAAUAUUUUUUAAUCGAUGAAAGCCAGAUUUCCAGUAUUAAUAUGCUUGUAUGAUAAAGUGUUCAUUUUAUAUCCUCAUAGUUCUUGUACAUAUGGGAAAAAAUAAUUUCAUGCUGGGCUUGAUUUUGAUAAUAAUUAUUUGACAAUCCAAGAUACGUUUAUAGCAUUUGUUUAUGAUACUGAUUUCUUUAGGUGACAUGUUUAUGGCCUAAUCAACACCUUUGAUGGUCUUUAAUCUGUUGAUUACUUUAUCUUGGGUUAAUUAGUGUUGCCACUACGAUUAACACCAGUCAAUGUUUACUUUGCAAUUUCUUCAAUCUAGACUAUUAGUAUUUGUAACCUUUGUUCCUAAAGGCUUUAGUUUUCAAGUUUUUCUUUUUUUAGAAAACUAAAAUCCACGAAUUUAAAAA